Molecule: transfer RNA, 71 nt
Filed under: Graphis scripta
Lineage: Eukaryota; Fungi; Ascomycota; Lecanoromycetes; Ostropales; Graphidaceae
Description: tRNA-Asn
Rfam family: tRNA
About the family: Transfer RNA (tRNA) molecules are approximately 80 nucleotides in length. Their secondary structure includes four short double-helical elements and three loops (D, anti-codon, and T loops).
Source: RNAcentral
GCCCCUAUAGCUCAACGGUAGAGCGAGAUACUGUUAAUAUUUUUAUAAGUGUUCAAUUCACUUUAGGGGCU